UACGUAGGUGGCAAGCGUUGUCCGGAUUUACUGGGCGUAAAGAGUGCGCAGGCGGUCGUUCAAGUCGCGUGUGAAAGCCCCCGGCUCAACUGGGGAGGGUCACGCGAUACUGAUCGACUCGAAGGCAGGAGAGGGUAGUGGAAUUCCCGGUGUAGUGGUGAAAUGCGUAGAUAUCGGGAGGAACACCAGUGGCGAAGGCGACUACCUGGCCUGUUCUUGACGCUGAGGCGCGAAAGCUAGGGGAGCAAACGGG
Molecule: ribosomal RNA, 253 nt
Filed under: uncultured bacterium
Lineage: Bacteria
Description: partial 16S ribosomal RNA
Rfam family: Bacterial small subunit ribosomal RNA
Source: RNAcentral